AGCGAACGCUGGCGGCGUGCCUAACACAUGCAAGUCGAACAUGAAAGGGAGCAAUCCCAAGUAAAGUGGCGUACGGGUGAGUAACACGUAGGUAAUCUACCCCAGAAUCUGGAAUAACCGGCCGAAAGGCUGGCUAAUACUGGAUAGAGCGACGGAAUCCGUAAUUGGGUUUUUCGGGAAAGGGAGCCUGUAAAAAGGCCUUCGUUCUGGGAUGAGCCUGCGUCCCAUCAGCUAGUUGGUGAGGUAAAAGCUUACCAAGGCAAUGACGGGUAGCUGGUCUGAGAGGACGAUCAGCCACACUGGAACUGAAACACGGUCCAGACUCCUACGGGAGGCAGCAGUGGGGAAUCUUGCGCAAUGGACGAAAGUCUGACGCAGCAACGCCGCGUGAGUGAAGAAGGCCUUCGGGUUGUAAAGCUCUGUCGAGUGGGACGAAAAUGCUUGGAGUUCACAGCUCCAGGAACUGACGGUACCACUAAAGGAAGCACCGGCUAACUCCGUG
This 502-nucleotide ribosomal RNA is filed under the name uncultured bacterium. RNAcentral's name for it is "partial 16S ribosomal RNA". It matches the Rfam family "Bacterial small subunit ribosomal RNA", at positions 29 to 507 of the family's 1533-position model. The record is from RNAcentral.